RNAcentral lists this ribosomal RNA (176 nucleotides) under Acidobacteriota bacterium. RNAcentral's name for it is "partial 16S ribosomal RNA". It matches the Rfam family "Bacterial small subunit ribosomal RNA", at positions 1 to 174 of the family's 1533-position model. The record is from RNAcentral. Lineage: Bacteria; Pseudomonadati; Acidobacteriota.
UAAGUGGAGAGUUUGAUCCUGGCUCAGAAUGAACGCUGGCGGCGUGCUUAACACAUGCAAGUCGAGCGAGGCCAGGGGGGCAACUCCCUGAGUCGAGCGGCGGACGGGUGAGUAACACGUGGGUAACCUACCCGGAAGUGGGGAAUACCUCGGGGAAACUCGAGCUAAUACCGCAU